This 519-nucleotide ribosomal RNA is filed under the name uncultured eukaryote. RNAcentral's name for it is "SSU rRNA". It matches the Rfam family "Eukaryotic small subunit ribosomal RNA", at positions 1161 to 1699 of the family's 1831-position model. The record is from RNAcentral.
AGGGCACCACCAGGAGUGGAGCCUGCGGCUUAAUUUGACUCAACACGGGAAAACUCACCCGGCCUGGACACUGGAAGGAUUGACAGAUUGAGAGCUCUUUCUUGAUUCAGUGGGUGGUGGUGCAUGGCCGUUCUUAGUUGGUGGAGUGAUUUGUCUGGUUAAUUCCGAUAACGAACGAGACUCUAGCCUACUAAAUAGAUCGUCGGCUUACAAGCGCCGGCGAGACUUCUUAGAGGGACAGGCGGUGAUUCAACCGCACGAAACAGAGCAAUAACAGGUCUGUGAUGCCCUUAGAUGUCCGGGGCCGCACGCGCGCUACACUGAAGUGAUCAGCGUGCUUUUUCAACCUACUCUGUCAAGAGUGGGGAACCCAAUGAACCUUCUUCGUGAUUGGGAUAGGGGAUUGUAAUUAUUCCCCUUGAACGAGGAAUUCCCAGUAAGCGCGAGUCAUAAGCUCGCGUUGAUUACGUCCCUGCCCUUUGUACACACCGCCCGUCGCUACUACCGAUUGAAUGUUUU